GGGGGUAUAGCUCAGCUGGGAGAGCAGCAGACUGAAGUGGCAUUUGUUCCGCGUAAGCAUCUUCUGAAGGUCCCGCGUUCGAUCCGCGGUACCCCCA
Collybiopsis luxurians FD-317 M1 is the source of this 97-nucleotide non-coding RNA. The record is from the annotation of a GenBank genome assembly. NCBI's taxonomy places the organism in Eukaryota, Fungi, Basidiomycota, Agaricomycetes, Agaricales, Omphalotaceae.